GGAGCAGAAGGGUAUCUGGUGAGCCCCACGGUCUUCAAAACCGCUGAGGGACGGUGGACCCGUCCUGGUGAGUUCGAUUCUCACCUGCUCUCGCCA
This 96-nucleotide transfer RNA is filed under the name uncultured Eubacteriales bacterium. RNAcentral's name for it is "uncultured Clostridiales bacterium tRNA-Sec". It matches the Rfam family "Selenocysteine transfer RNA". The record is from RNAcentral. Lineage: Bacteria; Bacillati; Bacillota; Clostridia; Eubacteriales.